GGCCUAACCAUGCAAGUCGAACGAUAUAGUGGCAGACGGGUGAGUAACGCGUGGAAACGUGCCUUUCACUACGGAAUAGCUUUUGGAAACGAAAGGUAAUACCGUAUACGCCCUCCGGGGGAAAGAUUUAUCGGUGAAAGAUCGGUCCGCGUUAGAUUAGCUAGUUGGUGAGGUAAUGGCUCACCAAGGCUACGAUCUAUAGCUGGUCUGAGAGGAUGAUCAGCCACACUGGGACUGAGACACGGCCCAGACUCCUACGGGAGGCAGCAGUGGGGAAUAUUGCACAAUGGGCGCAAGCCUGAUGCAGCCAUGCCGCGUGAAUGAUGAAGGCCUUAGGGUUGUAAAAUUCUUUCGCCAGGGAUGAUAAUGACAGUACCUGGUAAAGAAGCCCCGGCUAACUUCGUGCCAGCAGCCGCGGUAAUACGAAGGGGGCUAGCGUUGUUCGGAAUUACUGGGCGUAAAGCGCACGUAGGCGGACUUUUAAGUCAGAUGUGAAAUCCCGAGGCUCAACCUCGGAACUGCAUUUGAAACUGGGAGUCUAGAGAUCAGGAGAGGUUAGCGGAAUACCGAGUGUAGAGGUGAAAUUCGUAGAUAUUC
RNAcentral lists this ribosomal RNA (597 nucleotides) under uncultured bacterium. RNAcentral describes it as "bacterial SSU rRNA". It matches the Rfam family "Bacterial small subunit ribosomal RNA", at positions 45 to 699 of the family's 1533-position model. The record is from RNAcentral.